Molecule: ribosomal RNA, 492 nt
Filed under: uncultured bacterium
Lineage: Bacteria
Description: partial 16S ribosomal RNA
Rfam family: Bacterial small subunit ribosomal RNA
Source: RNAcentral
AGUGAACGCUGGCGGUAGGCCUAACACAUGCAAGUCGAACGGCAGCACAGUAAGAGCUUGCUCUUACGGGUGGCGAGUGGCGGACGGGUGAGGAAUACAUCGGAAUCUACUUUUUCGUGGGGGAUAACGUAGGGAAACUUACGCUAAUACCGCAUACGACCUACGGGUGAAAGCAGGGGAUCUUCGGACCUUGCGCGAUUGCAUGAGCCGAUGUCGGAUUAGCUAGUUGGCGGGGUAAAGGCCCACCAAGGCGACGAUCCGUAGCUGGUCUGAGAGGAUGAUCAGCCACACUGGAACUGAGACACGGUCCAGACUCCUACGGGAGGAAGCAGUGGGGAAUAUUGGACAAUGGGCGCAAGCCUGAUCCAGCCAUACCGCGUGGGUGAAGAAGGCCUUCGGGUUGUAAAGCCCUUCUGUUGGGAAAGAAAAGCAGCAGGUUAAUACCCCGCUGUUCUGACGGUACCCAAAGAAUAAGCACCGGCUAGCUUCGUG